This is a long non-coding RNA of Photinus pyralis (common eastern firefly), 1866 nucleotides long. RefSeq lists it as uncharacterized. NCBI's taxonomy places the organism in Eukaryota, Metazoa, Arthropoda, Insecta, Coleoptera, Lampyridae. The transcript has 3 exons. The record is from RefSeq and is a predicted model, not a curated record.
UUUUCACUCUUUUGGCCGUGACAAAAAUUCUUUACCAGCUGCUACGCAGAGGAAUGGGUAAUUAGUAAUUUUAUUUUAUAUCGCCGCUAGAAGCGGGAAUAACAAUGAAAGUUGUAGAUACUGCUCGUGCUUCAGGGAACAGGAUGUAGGUAGUUACGUCAAAGAAGGCAAUACUCAAGCACAACACACAUAAACAGAACGAAAUAAAUUACAUGGAGAUGUAAAUACGUGGUACCUAUUUCAAUAUCCAAAUGGGCCAAAUUAGCUUUGGUUUACUCACAAUAAAUAAAAAAGGCAAUGUAAAGAAAAUUAACAAUCACAAGACCGGCUCACUCGCUUCAUUUCAGUAUAGGACGAGUUAAUAUGACCUCAAUUUUGAUAGGACUUGGAUUAUUAGAUAGCGCUACCGGUAUAACACCUUGACCAUUGGACCUCACCUGGGGUAUACUACUGCUUGAUAUUUGUCUUGUGCAAUGUUUUAUAAACUGACUAUAAUUAAUUAAUUAAUGUGUCACUUAGGGCCAAUUGCACCGUCAACGAUAAGUAUCCCUUAAAGUUAAGCAUAAUUUAAAUACCAUAGCUACGAUUGUUUUUAAUAAUCGUUUCCAUAGAAUUUAAGUUCGACUUAACUUUAAGCAAGUUUUAAUUUUGUUGGUGCAACUGGGGCUAAGCAACAAAUGGUGUAACCAUUGUUUAAACACCAUUGUACAUGUAUUAUACAAGUAGGCCAACGGUCGUUUACUUUUGAACACCACGUAUAGAUGGCGAGGACAUUAGAGUCGCAACAUUGCCAUCAACGUAAGUAAUUGAAUGCAACCAAAUAUUUAAAUGAAAUAUUACCUUAAAUCAUAACAUAACGUCAUAACCUUAAUCUCAAAAAAUGACAACCUCAGAGUAUUUAUUUCUUACUCUGAGAUGACAACUAUUUUUCUGUUUACUUUAAGUAUUAUAUAAAAAAACUUUAAGUAAAAGUAAAAACGUUAAGUAAGUAACACACAAAAAACACAUCACAAGUGAAAGUGAGGGAAGAAAAGGAAUGAAGGAUAGAGGAGAUAGGUGAGAUAGAAUAAGACUCGAUGAAUGAAUUCCCUUCUUUAUUUUAUUUAACAACCAUAUCGAUGAAACGGAGACGGCACAACAAGUACAACCUGACCUUUGCCGAAGAUGUAACUUGCCAAUUAAGGUGAUCGGAAUAGAUGGUGUGACCAACGGUUAACAAUCGGUGUUGCUUUGGUGAUGCGAACAGGAAACACAAUGAACGUAAGAUGUAUAGAUGAUGCCAGAAGAUGCUUGAAUCCAACGUAGUACGAUGAAAAGUCUGAGGAAACUUGAAGACACUGAAAGAAAUAAAGGAAACGUAAACAGCUAACAGAAUAUCGAUAAUUUGUAGACGAUUACAUCUAUCAGAGUCAUACUUCUUGAGAUGACAGGCAAGCGUUUGUGUUAAUGUGACCAAAGAUCCGCAAUAUGCACGAGAAGAAUUAUAUACCAAAAUAUCAAAAGACUUGGUGAAAUCACAUGUACUUCAUACAGGAUGGCUACAGGAAAAGUGAAAGUUGAUAAGAGCAUACAGGAAAAAGGAAAUGAUUGUUAUCAUUAUCAGAUACAAGUAAAAACAAUAAAGAGACAGUUACUAAAUUUGAAUUAAAAUUGUAGAAAAGGAAGAGUAGAAAAUGAAAUAAAGUAUUUCCAAGAUUUAUAAGAAUUAAGUAUAAGAAAAAGAACUGUUACAAGUUGUUUUACAAUACAUUGCCUUUAAGUUAAAGUGCAAACAAUUAUUCAUAAAUUUACGUGUUAAUACUUGUCAUUGCAUAGACUUUAUUGUAACGUAAUAGUUAUUCACAUAAAAGUCAGGAAAAUGACACA